RNAcentral lists this ribosomal RNA (291 nucleotides) under Bacillus velezensis. RNAcentral's name for it is "partial 16S ribosomal RNA". It matches the Rfam family "Bacterial small subunit ribosomal RNA", at positions 1 to 281 of the family's 1533-position model. Lineage: Bacteria; Bacillati; Bacillota; Bacilli; Caryophanales; Bacillaceae. The record is from RNAcentral.
UUUAUCGGAGAGUUUGAUCCUGGCUCAGGACGAACGCUGGCGGCGUGCCUAAUACAUGCAAGUCGAGCGGACAGAUGGGAGCUUGCUCCCUGAUGUUAGCGGCGGACGGGUGAGUAACACGUGGGUAACCUGCCUGUAAGACUGGGAUAACUCCGGGAAACCGGGGCUAAUACCGGAUGGUUGUUUGAACCGCAUGGUUCAGACAUAAAAGGUGGCUUCGGCUACCACUUACAGAUGGACCCGCGGCGCAUUAGCUAGUUGGUGAGGUAACGGCUCACCAAGGCGACGAUG